GACGAACGCUGGCGGCGUGCUUAACACAUGCAAGUCGAACGGAAAGGCCCUGCUUUUGUGGGGUGCUCGAGUGGCGAACGGGUGAGUAACACGUGAGUAACCUGCCCUUGACUUUGGGAUAACUUCAGGAAACUGGGGCUAAUACCGGAUAGGAGCUCCUGCUGCAUGGUGGGGGUUGGAAAGUUUCGGCGGUUGGGGAUGGACUCGCGGCUUAUCCGCUUGUUGGUGGGGUAGUGGCUUACCAAGGCUUUGACGGAUAGCCGGCCUGAGAGGGGGACCGGCCACAUGGGGACUGAGAUACGGCCCAGACGCGUACGGGAGGCAGCAGGGGGGAGUAUGGCACAACGGGCGGAAGCCUGAUGCAGCAACGCCGCGUGCGGGAUGACGGCCUUCGGGUUGUAAACCGCUGUCGCCUGUGACGAAGCGUGAGUGACGGUAACGGGUAAAGAAGCACCGGCUAACUACGUG
Molecule: ribosomal RNA, 468 nt
Filed under: uncultured bacterium
Lineage: Bacteria
Description: partial 16S ribosomal RNA
Rfam family: Bacterial small subunit ribosomal RNA
Source: RNAcentral